GUGCAAGCGUUAAUCGGAAUCACUGGGCGUAAAGCGCUCGUAGGUGGCUUUGUAAGUCAGGUGUGAAAGCCCACGGCUCAACCGUGGAAUUGCACUUGAUACUGCAUUGCUUGAGUUCGGGAGAGGGUAGUGGAAUUCCAGGUGUAGGAGUGAAAUCCGUAGGGAUCUGGAGGAACACCAGUGGCGAAGGCGGCUUACUGGUCCAUUACUGACACUGAGGAGCG
This 224-nucleotide ribosomal RNA is filed under the name uncultured bacterium. Its description in RNAcentral is "partial 16S ribosomal RNA". It matches the Rfam family "Bacterial small subunit ribosomal RNA", at positions 532 to 755 of the family's 1533-position model. The record is from RNAcentral.